This 72-nucleotide transfer RNA is filed under the name Ostreobium quekettii. RNAcentral describes it as "tRNA-Thr". It matches the Rfam family "tRNA". Rfam says of the family: Transfer RNA (tRNA) molecules are approximately 80 nucleotides in length. Lineage: Eukaryota; Viridiplantae; Chlorophyta; Ulvophyceae; Bryopsidales; Ostreobiaceae. The record is from RNAcentral.
GCCUUUUUAACUCAGUGGUAGAGUAUUUGCAUGGUAGGCAAAAAGUCGCCGGUUCAAUCCCGGUUAAAGGCU